This 416-nucleotide ribosomal RNA is filed under the name uncultured bacterium. Its description in RNAcentral is "partial 16S ribosomal RNA". It matches the Rfam family "Bacterial small subunit ribosomal RNA", at positions 355 to 762 of the family's 1533-position model. The record is from RNAcentral.
UGGGGAAUUUUGGACAAUGGGCGAAAGCCUGAUCCAGCAAUGCCGCGUGUGUGAAGAAGGCCUUCGGGUUGUAAAGCACUUUUGUCCGGAAAGAAAUCCUUGGCUCUAAUACAGUCGGGGGAUGACGGUACCGGAAGAAUAAGCACCGGCUAACUACGUGCCAGCAGCCGCGGUAAUACGUAGGGUGCAAGCGUUAAUCGGAAUUACUGGGCGUAAAGCGUGCGCAGGCGGUUUGCUAAGACCGAUGUGAAAUCCCCGGGCUCAACCUGGGAACUGCAUUGGUGACUGGCAGGCUAGAGUAUGGCAGAGGGGGGUAGAAUUCCACGUGUAGCAGUGAAAUGCGUAGAGAUGUGGAGGAAUACCGAUGGCGAAGGCAGCCCCCUGGGCCAAAUACUGACGCUCAUGCACGAAAGCGU